AGCGUACACGGUGGAUGCCCUGGCAGUCAGAGGCGAUGAAGGACGUGCUAAUCUGCGAUAAGCGUCGGUAAGGUGAUAUGAACCGUUAUAACCGGCGAUUUCCGAAUGGGGAAACCCAGUGUGAUUCGUCACACUAUCAUUAACUGAAUCCAUAGGUUAAUGAGGCGAACCGGGGGAACUGAAACAUCUAAGUACCCCGAGGAAAAGAAAUCAACCGAGAUUCCCCAGUAGCGGCGAGCGAACGGGGAGCAGCCCAGAGCCUGAAUCAGUAUGUGUGUUAGUGGAAGCGUCUGGAAAGGCGCGCGAUACAGGGUGACAGCCCCGUACACAAAAAUGCACAUGCUGUGAGCUCGAUGAGUAGGGCGGGACACGUGGUAUCCUGUCUGAAUAUGGGGGGACCAUCCUCCAAGGCUAAAUACUCCUGACUGACCGAUAGUGAACCAGUACCGUGAGGGAAAGGCGAAAAGAACCCCGGCGAGGGGAGUGAAAAAGAACCUGAAACCGUGUACGUACAAGCAGUGGGAGCACAGAGCAAUCUGUGUGACUGCGUACCUUUUGUAUAAUGGGUCAGCGACUUAUAUUCUGUAGCAAGGUUAACCGAAUAGGGGAGCCGAAGGGAAACCGAGUCUUAACUGGGCGUUAAGUUGCAGGGUAUAGACCCGAAACCCGGUGAUCUAGCCAUGGGCAGGUUGAAGGUUGGGUAACACUAACUGGAGGACCGAACCGACUAAUGUUGAAAAAUUAGCAGAUGACUUGUGGCUGGGGGUGAAAGGCCAAUCAAACCGGGAGAUAGCUGGUUCUCCCCGAAAGCUAUUUAGGUAGCGCCUCGUGAAUUCAUCUCCGGGGGUAGAGCACUGUUUCGGCAAGGGGGUCAUCCCGACUUACCAACCCGAUGCAAACUGCGAAUACCGGAGAAUGUUAUCACGGGAGACACACGGCGGGUGCUAACGUCCGUCGUGAAGAGGGAAACAACCCAGACCGCCAGCUAAGGUCCCAAAGUCAUGGUUAAGUGGGAAACGAUGUGGGAAGGCCCAGACAGCCAGGAUGUUGGCUUAGAAGCAGCCAUCAUUUAAAGAAAGCGUAAUAGCUCACUGGUCGAGUCGGCCUGCGCGGAAGAUGUAACGGGGCUAAACCAUGCACCGAAGCUGCGGCAGCGACGCUGAUGCGUUGUUGGGUAGGGGAGCGUUCUGUAAGCCUGUGAAGGUGUGCUGUGAGGCAUGCUGGAGGUAUCAGAAGUGCGAAUGCUGACAUAAGUAACGAUAAAGCGGGUGAAAAGCCCGCUCGCCGGAAGACCAAGGGUUCCUGUCCAACGUUAAUCGGGGCAGGGUGAGUCGACCCCUAAGGCGAGGCCGAAAGGCGUAGUCGAUGGGAAACAGGUUAAUAUUCCUGUACUUGGUGUUACUGCGAAGGGGGGACGGAGAAGGCUAUGUUGGCCGGGCGACGGUUGUCCCGGUUUAAGCGUGUAGGCUGGUUUUCCAGGCAAAUCCGGAAAACUAAGGCUGAGGCGUGAUGACGAGGCACUACGGUGCUGAAGCAACAAAUGCCCUGCUUCCAGGAAAAGCCUCUAAGCAUCAGGUAACAUCAAAUCGUACCCCAAACCGACACAGGUGGUCAGGUAGAGAAUACCAAGGCGCUUGAGAGAACUCGGGUGAAGGAACUAGGCAAAAUGGUGCCGUAACUUCGGGAGAAGGCACGCUGAUAUGUAGGUGAAGUCCCUCGCGGAUGGAGCUGAAAUCAGUCGAAGAUACCAGCUGGCUGCAACUGUUUAUUAAAAACACAGCACUGUGCAAACACGAAAGUGGACGUAUACGGUGUGACGCCUGCCCGGUGCCGGAAGGUUAAUUGAUGGGGUCAGCGCAAGCGAAGCUCUUGAUCGAAGCCCCGGUAAACGGCGGCCGUAACUAUAACGGUCCUAAGGUAGCGAAAUUCCUUGUCGGGUAAGUUCCGACCUGCACGAAUGGCGUAAUGAUGGCCAGGCUGUCUCCACCCGAGACUCAGUGAAAUUGAACUCGCUGUGAAGAUGCAGUGUACCCGCGGCAAGACGGAAAGACCCCGUGAACCUUUACUAUAGCUUGACACUGAACAUUGAGCCUUGAUGUGUAGGAUAGGUGGGAGGCUUUGAAGUGUGGACGCCAGUCUGCAUGGAGCCGACCUUGAAAUACCACCCUUUAAUGUUUGAUGUUCUAACGUUGACCCGUAAUCCGGGUUGCGGACAGUGUCUGGUGGGUAGUUUGACUGGGGCGGUCUCCUCCUAAAGAGUAACGGAGGAGCACGAAGGUUGGCUAAUCCUGGUCGGACAUCAGGAGGUUAGUGCAAUGGCAUAAGCCAGCUUGACUGCGAGCGUGACGGCGCGAGCAGGUGCGAAAGCAGGUCAUAGUGAUCCGGUGGUUCUGAAUGGAAGGGCCAUCGCUCAACGGAUAAAAGGUACUCCGGGGAUAACAGGCUGAUACCGCCCAAGAGUUCAUAUCGACGGCGGUGUUUGGCACCUCGAUGUCGGCUCAUCACAUCCUGGGGCUGAAGUAGGUCCCAAGGGUAUGGCUGUUCGCCAUUUAAAGUGGUACGCGAGCUGGGUUUAGAACGUCGUGAGACAGUUCGGUCCCUAUCUGCCGUGGGCGCUGGAGAACUGAGGGGGGCUGCUCCUAGUACGAGAGGACCGGAGUGGACGCAUCACUGGUGUUCGGGUUGUCAUGCCAAUGGCACUGCCCGGUAGCUAAAUGCGGAAGAGAUAAGUGCUGAAAGCAUCUAAGCACGAAACUUGCCCCGAGAUGAGUUCUCCCUGACUCCUUGA
This 2788-nucleotide ribosomal RNA is filed under the name Escherichia coli. Its description in RNAcentral is "bacterial LSU rRNA". It matches the Rfam family "Bacterial large subunit ribosomal RNA". Lineage: Bacteria; Pseudomonadati; Pseudomonadota; Gammaproteobacteria; Enterobacterales; Enterobacteriaceae. The record is from RNAcentral.